Molecule: ribosomal RNA, 235 nt
Filed under: uncultured bacterium
Lineage: Bacteria
Description: partial 16S ribosomal RNA
Rfam family: Bacterial small subunit ribosomal RNA
Source: RNAcentral
CCGGCACGGUGAGUAACACGUAUCCAACCUGCCGUCUACUCUUGGACAGCCUUCUGAAGGAAGAUUAAUACAAGAUGGCAUCAUGAGUCCGCAUGUUCACAUGAUUAAAGGUAUUCCGGUAGACGAUGGGGAUGCGUUCCAUUAGGUUGUUGGCGGGGUAACGGCCCACCAAGCCUUCGAUGGAUAGGGGUUCUGAGAGGAAGGUCCCCCACAUUGGAACUGAGACACGGUCCAA